Molecule: ribosomal RNA, 497 nt
Filed under: uncultured bacterium
Lineage: Bacteria
Description: partial 16S ribosomal RNA
Rfam family: Bacterial small subunit ribosomal RNA
Source: RNAcentral
GAUGAACGCUGGCGGCGUGCCUUAUACAUGCAAGUCGAGCGAACAGAUGAGGAGCUUGCUCCUCUGACGUUAGCGGCGGACGGGUGAGUAACACGUGGAUAACCUACCUAUAAGACUGGGAUAACUUCGGGAAACCGGAGCUAAUACCGGAUAAUAUAUUGAACCGCAUGGUUCAAUAGUGAAAGACGGUUUUGCUGUCACUUAUAGAUGGAUCCGCGCCGCAUUAGCUAGUUGGUAAGGUAACGGCUUACCAAGGCAACGAUGCGUAGCCGACCUGAGAGGGUGAUCGGCCACACUGGAACUGAGACACGGUCCAGACUCCUACGGGAGGCAGCAGUAGGGAAUCUUCCGCAAUGGGCGAAAGCCUGACGGAGCAACGCCGCGUGAGUGAUGAAGGUCUUCGGAUCGUAAAACUCUGUUAUUAGGGAAGAACAAAUGUGUAAGUAACUAUGCACGUCUUGACGGUACCUAAUCAGAAAGCCACGGCUAACUACGUG